This is a long non-coding RNA of Fukomys damarensis (Damara mole-rat), 243 nucleotides long. RefSeq lists it as uncharacterized. The transcript has 3 exons. Lineage: Eukaryota; Metazoa; Chordata; Mammalia; Rodentia; Bathyergidae. The record is from RefSeq and is a predicted model, not a curated record.
UGGGAGUGAGCGUCCACAUGGCUUAGCUCUUCUGGGAACAAUGCUGUCUGUGAACCAUCCAUGUCCUCACCGAGGUCACCGCCAGAGAGUUCCCUGACCUGCUGCUGGCUUCCUGUACCUCGCUCCCUGUUCAUGAAGAAUGAUUGGCCUAUGAUGUCCUGGGCAAAAGUCUCUCAUAACUUCACAUCAGGAGUGGAAUUGCUGGACCUAAGGGAUUGAACUUGGGACCUUGUGCUUGCAAAG